RNAcentral lists this ribosomal RNA (265 nucleotides) under uncultured Prevotella sp. RNAcentral describes it as "partial 16S ribosomal RNA". It matches the Rfam family "Bacterial small subunit ribosomal RNA", at positions 92 to 355 of the family's 1533-position model. The record is from RNAcentral. Lineage: Bacteria; Pseudomonadati; Bacteroidota; Bacteroidia; Bacteroidales; Prevotellaceae.
CGACCGGCGCACGGGUGAGUAACGCGUAUCCAACCUUCCCAUUACUGUGGGGAUAACCUGCCGAAAGGCAGACUAAUACCGCAUAGUCUUCGAUGACGGCAUCAGAUUUGAAGUAAAGAUUUAUCGGUAAUGGAUGGGGAUGCGUCUGAUUAGCUUGUUGGCGGGGUAACGGCCCACCAAGGCGACGAUCAGUAGGGGUUCUGAGAGGAAGGUCCCCCACAUUGGAACUGAGACACGGUCCAAACUCCUACGGGAGGCAGCAGCC